This 440-nucleotide ribosomal RNA is filed under the name uncultured bacterium. RNAcentral describes it as "partial 16S ribosomal RNA". It matches the Rfam family "Bacterial small subunit ribosomal RNA", at positions 338 to 795 of the family's 1533-position model. The record is from RNAcentral.
CCUACGGGUGGCAGCAGUGGGGGAUAUUGCACAAUGGGGGAAACCCUGAUGCAGCGACGCCGCGUGUGGGAAGACGGUCCUCUGGAUUGUAAACCACUGUCCCCAGGGACGAAGAUGACGGUACCUGGGGAGGAAGCUCCGGCUAACUACGUGCCAGCAGCCGCGGUAAUACGUAGGGAGCGAGCGUUGUCCGGAAUUACUGGGUGUAAGGGGAGCGUAGGCGGGACUGCAAGUUGGGUGUCAAAUCUACCGGCUCAACCGGUAGCCGCACUCAAAACUGCAGUUCUUGAGUGAAGUAGAGGCAGGCGGAAUUCCUAGUGUAGCGGUGAAAUGCGUAGAUAUUAGGAGGAACACCAGUGGCGAAGGCGGCCUGCUGGGCUUUGACUGACGCUGAGGCUCGAAAGUGUGGGGAGCAAACAGGAUUAGAUACCCGGGCAGUC